GUCUUCUUGGAUUAAUUAGAAGUCGUGCCUGCCCNCUGAAUUUUAUACUGARGGCCCGCGGUAUUUUGACCGUGCUAAGGUAGCAUAAUCAUUAGUCUUUUAAUUGAAGGCUGGAAUGAAGGGUUUGACGAAAUAAUAACUGUCUCUUGAUUAAAAUUUUGAAGUUUACUUUUAAGUAAAAAGGCUUAAAUAGUAAUAGGGGACGAGAAGACCCUAUAGAUCUUAAUUUAUUUAUUAAUAAUUUUUUAUUGGUUGUUUUAGGAAUUAUUGGUGUAUAAAUUUUAUUGGGGUGAUAUAAGAAUAGUUAAAACUUCUUAUUAGAUUUUACUUUGAUUUAUGGAUUUUUGAUCCUUUAAUAUGGAUUUAAGAUUAAGAUACCUUAGGGAUAACAGCGUAAUUUUAUUUGAGAGUUCUUAUCGACAAUAAAGAUUGCGACCUCGAUGUUGGAUUAAGAUUAUAAAUUGGUGUAGAAGUUAAUUUUAUUAGUCUGUUCGACUAUUAAAUUCUUACA
This 511-nucleotide ribosomal RNA is filed under the name Neoamusia shawae (nomen nudum). RNAcentral describes it as "partial 16S ribosomal RNA". It matches the Rfam family "Bacterial large subunit ribosomal RNA", at positions 1894 to 2600 of the family's 2925-position model. Lineage: Eukaryota; Metazoa; Arthropoda; Insecta; Orthoptera; Gryllidae. The record is from RNAcentral.